Molecule: non-coding RNA, 1543 nt
Organism: Lactuca sativa (garden lettuce)
Lineage: Eukaryota; Viridiplantae; Streptophyta; Magnoliopsida; Asterales; Asteraceae
Source: RefSeq, a predicted model, not a curated record
UAUCAUCUCCUGCCUCUAUAAUCCUCAUUCUAUCCUUCUUCAUUCUCACUUCCAGACUCUAUUUUAUCUCUUUAAAAGCCACCCUCCCCUCUUACAAUUUCUAAUUUUCUAUCACCACGCUAUCUCUAAAAAAUAACCCUGACGUGCACGAUCAUAAUCGAUUUUGGUCGAUGAAGCAUAUGGUGACGAGUAGCAUCUCCUCUCCAAACUCGGUCACAAGUGCACACGAGAAACCAACCCUGAUGUGCCUGAAAAAGGAGCAUGUUCAGGUAAUGUUUUCGUCUUUAUUGCAUCUUUUUGUGCUUUGCUUUCCUCCGUAUUUCCCUUGCACUUCUUGAAAACCUAGAACCACCAUCGCCUAAUGCCACCGUCACCAACUAACCACCAUCUCAGAAGCCCCUCCCACAUCGCCUUUAAUCAACUUCAUAGAAAAAUCCCAUCACAUUCACUGCUUUUUUCUCUAAACGCUAGACAUCGUUGCCACUCCUCUUCUCUGUGAUUCCCCUAUCUCUUUCUCUCAAUCAAACAAUCUCAUCUGGUUUCAUUAUAAAGACUAUUUCAUAUUUUUGGGGUAUGUGUUGUCAAAAACAUCAACGUAUAUGUGCUAUUACAAACUUCAACGAGGUGGGAACCUAUUUUAAAACCAUCACAUCACAAACUCACCUGUAGAAACCCUAUACUUUACCACCAUCGCACCUCCUAAAAGCCUAGCCGCCGACCACCUAACGCAUCGCCUCUACAUCUCUCUAUUUGGCUUCCGAUCAGAGACACAUCACUGCCUCAUCACCAAGGUCUCUCUCUCUCUCUCUCUCUCUCUCUCUCUCUCUCUCUCUCUCUCUUAUCAUUUAUUUGUUUAGUAAGGCUUCAAGUUUUGUCAAUUUUAGUUUUUUUUUUAUUUGUGGGUAUUUUCUCAAAGAAAACCUGCAAAACGAAAGAAAUUGAAAAGAAUUGAACAAGUGUCCUGCAACAUUUGUUUGAUAACCGCAUGAUGCAAAAAGAAAGUGUGUUGCUGCUUGGCACAUUUCACCUAAAAAAUAGGUUGACUGGUGUUGAUGUCGUCCAAAGUAAUAGCAAUAUCUACUCGGAUAAAAUGUUGUCAUAAAUAGUGAAAAAGACAACAUGUUGCUGAUUUGCUGUGAAGAAAGGAUGUGGAGUAAGAGGACCGACAUUUACAUCUGAGGUUUGUAUCCUUUAACAAUUUAUGCAUUUAAAUUCUAAAAAAUUAAAAAGGGAUAAAUAUGACUUUUUUUUCUUUAAUACUUGGAUUUGUACUUCAAAUUUACUUGUGUUUUUUUUUUAAUUAUAGAAUUCUAAUUUUGUUUUUUUAUCAUGCAUUUUAUUUUAUUUUUCUUUACCAGUGGGUAGAAUCAGCCAAACCAUGGUUUGUUGGGUGCUUCUUCUCAAAUUUUUCUUCACAAGAGUGUAAGAUAGGCAAAAUAAUAUGUUUUGGCAUAAAUAAAUUUGCAAAUGCAGGUUUGAAAUCUGGUUUGAAGGUUCAAAAUAUGUUAUGGAGGUUUGGAAUCUAUAAAAACUUUGUUUAAUA